Long non-coding RNA from Neodiprion fabricii, 2626 nucleotides. RefSeq lists it as uncharacterized. The transcript is spliced from 2 exons. NCBI's taxonomy places the organism in Eukaryota, Metazoa, Arthropoda, Insecta, Hymenoptera, Diprionidae. The record is from RefSeq and is a predicted model, not a curated record.
AAUAUACGGCAUUGUAUUUAUCACACCGUUAUAAUGAAUUACAUUUGUCCUAAUUUGCACCGCGCCAUUGAUUAUACAUUAUACUAUACUGCACAAAUUUUGCCGAAUCUAUACGUAGAAUAAUACAUGCAUAUUAUUCGUAUGUAAUAAUCCCGCGACUGUAUUAUCAUGUAAUGUAAAAGGCACAAGGUUUUUUUUAAUGCAAUUUUCUCUGUUCUGUCCAAAUAGCAUUUCAAUUUAUUUAUUUGUUCUUAUUAUACAUGUAAGUAGGUAUACAUAUUAUAUAUAUAUAUCACACUAUCACACUGUUGUGUGUAUUAACUAUAAAUAUAAUUAUAUCACACGCUUGAACCGAGCGUACGAACAUUUUAUCACAUUAUACAUAGAUUUUUGAUUCCCCUGUAAAAUAUUCUCUACAUACCUGUUUAAUAUUACACAUAAUCGUAUUACAAAAAUAAUAAUACUUAAUCAUCAGCAACAUAAUACUGACGGUAGUUGUUAUUAAUAUUAUCAUUAUAAUUAUUAUCAUUAUGGUUAGCGGCAUAGUAACAAUAUACUAAUAUGCAAAAAUGUAGCUAAUAUAACAGUUCAAUUUUAUAGACACUAAGAAUAAUUAUUUAUAUGCGAAAUAUCGUAUAUAUUUAUACGUCAAUAUACAAUAUUAUAUCCGUAUAGAGUGAUUUUCAUAAUUUCCAAAAAAAAGAAGUUCUACGAUAAGUGGUUUAGGUAUAUAAAUGUAUAAACCUCAACCUAUGUAAUAGUUAUUACUCUUGUGGUUACAAUAUGUCUAUAAAGCACGCGUACGUUUAUAAUAUACUGUGAGUACCUACUUGCGUUUAAAAUUAAUUUUAUACACGUACUAUAUUAUAUAUUGUACCGUAAUAAUAUGACAGUUAAUUUAAUGUAAUUUAAUUCAAUACAUUAAGGCGUGAUUUACUCGCGCGUAUAUAAGUAUAUUACUAAUUUACAUUGUUUCUUGUGUACAGUUGUAAACGCAGUAUUAUACUAUAAUGAAAAAAAAAAAAAAUGAAUUUAUCUACUACACUCACUUAAGUUUUGGAUCUAUUGCCAUUAUUAUUAUUGUUAUGAUUAAUUAUAUAUUUCUGGUAUACGAAAUACGGGCUAUAGUCAGCAAAGUCUAUCCCCUUAAUUGAAGUUUCAAGUGGCGCGUAUUUUCUUAGUUUCAAAUCGAUUCGGAAUAAUUAACUUAUGCUUGAAAGAGUAGUUGGAAUACGUCCUGUAGGGAAGGAGAGAAAAAACAAAGUGGACAGAUAAUAGAGAAAACGGUAUUCCGCUUCGUAUAUGAAAUAGAGCGAAUUAAGAAAUGAAACAGAAAGAAAAAUUGUCAGCGUUGAUUUUCUUGAUAUCAAAAAAACAAGGAAAAGCAUGUAUACAAUUCAUCUCAAAUCAGUCACCGAGUAAUCCAAGUUCCUAAGCACAGUAAAACCGUUGGUGUAUGCAAUAUCUGAACUAUUGAGCUAUCGCCAAUUGUGCAACAAUUUAGCGACACAUCUCUUAAAACAGCCGCCUGAUGCCAAACACACGUAUAAUAAUAAUAAUGAUAAAGUCUGGAUAAUAUUAUGUACUCAGUAAUUAUGCAUACAAUAUACGUAUGGUUCUAUGUAGCGAAAUAUAAUAGAAAUGAAAGAAAAAAACGACGCGGUUUUUUAUUCAACGUGCCAAAAUUACCUACGCGACGAUUUCAGUUAUUAUAGAGAAACGAAAAAGUAUAUCAUAGGUGCGGAAAUUCUUCGAUAAUUACUAGAUAUUGCGUACAUCUGAUGUAUGUUGGUCGGUAAAAAAAACCCUAAAUUUUCCAAUAAAUGUAUUUUGCCUAAGCGUACAAUAUGGCGGAUCCUUGUAUGUAUGGGAAUAAAAUUAGAAAAUAUGAAAAUGUACUUAUGUUAAUAUAUAUAUUCGAUGUAAUUUAGUAUAGCAUAGCCGUUUUACAGCCUAACUUGCGACUAGAUAAUAAUGCGUAUAUAUGAAAGAUGUAUUAUCGAACAGCGGGUAAAUGAGAAGAGAAUAAUGCGAGUUGCACGAUACAUGCGAGUUAUGGCAUGUGCGUUGCAGGCCGCUAAACCAGAUAAAUAUGUAUGUAUAGAAUUUAUUUAAAUGAUGUAACGAUAAUAAUAGGUUUGGUAAGAGAAUAAAAAUGUAUGUAUCAUGCGUUUGGUAAUGAAGAACUCGAUAGAUCUACGAUAGAGUAACAAAAGUUACAUACGUAUACACAUGUAAUAUGGGGUAGAUGAAUAAUACAAUUGAUCUAGAAUUAUAUGCAAUGAUUGUGACUAUAUAUUUUCACUAAUUAUUCUUGCCAAUUCAACAGUAGAGAAUAUAAUUGCAUGUGACACGCGUACAUUGUAUACGUAAAAGAUAAACGAGAAGAAAAUGUCGGCUAUCCGAUGAGAACAAUUGUAUCACAAUGGGUGUUAAUCUUAACGUGCAAAUAUUUGCACGUUAAGAUUAUAAUAUGGGAUAUUUCGCGAAAUGAUGCAGUGUAUUAAUAAUAAUGAAUAUUCUUAUUAAUAUUGAAAAUAUUAUGAUUACAAUGAUUCGAAAAUAUUAAAUUAUUAAGUGUAAUGUUGUGUAAUGUGGUAUAAUAAAUGUCAUUAGAUAAGAGAAA